UUUGGGAGAUGGGGGUGCACAGUGCUCCCGGGGGGAGUAGAGGGGGCCCCCCUGAAGUCCCCCAGACGAGGCCCGUGAACACAGGCUGCUUCUGGGUAGUCACGAGGAAAGCGACGAUUCCCAGCAGCUGCACCUGCCCAGCCCGGGCGAGGCUGCAGGACUUUCGCCGAGAAGCAGCUUCACUCAAGACCAGCCUGCUUUCCGGAAGUCUCGGGCAGAGGCCGGGGACGCGGGCCUUUCUGAAACCCAAGGUCGUACCCAGGGCAGAAACCAGAUGGCAUCUUAAUCCAAAACCCCAAGUGCCUGGUUGUCCCGGGAAGGCUCCCCGUCC
Molecule: long non-coding RNA, 331 nt
Filed under: Microcebus murinus (gray mouse lemur)
Lineage: Eukaryota; Metazoa; Chordata; Mammalia; Primates; Cheirogaleidae
Description: lncRNA (ENSMICG00000048494.1)
Source: RNAcentral